RNAcentral lists this ribosomal RNA (441 nucleotides) under uncultured bacterium. RNAcentral describes it as "partial 16S ribosomal RNA". It matches the Rfam family "Bacterial small subunit ribosomal RNA", at positions 338 to 795 of the family's 1533-position model. The record is from RNAcentral.
CCUACGGGAGGCAGCAGUGGGGAAUAUUGCACAAUGGGGGAAACCCUGAUGCAGCGACGCCGCGUGAGUGAAGAAGUAUUUCGGUAUGUAAAGCUCUAUCAGCAGGGAAGAAGCAAGACGGUACCUGACUAAGUAGCCCCGGCUAACUACGUGCCAGCAGCCGCGGUAAUACGUAGGGGGCAAGCGUUAUCCGGAUUUACUGGGUGUAAAGGGAGCGUAGACGGUAUGGCAAGUCUGAAGUGAAAGACCAGGGCUUAACCCUGGGACUGCUUUGGAAACUGUUAGACUAGAGUGCUGGAGAGGUAAGUGGAAUUCCUAGUGUAGCGGUGAAAUGCGUAGAUAUUAGGAAGAACACCAGUGGCGAAGGCGGCUUACUGGACAGUAACUGACGUUGAGGCUCGAAAGCGUGGGGAGCAAACAGGAUUAGAUACCCGAGUAGUC